CCGGGUGUUUUCUUCAGCAAAGGUUAUAGAUCCUUCAGCUCUUUGCCACUUGAGUGGUCUGGCCGAUCCACCGAUUGCUCCCUUCCAGGGCUCUCCAGAGAUGGUGUUGAUGAUCAUUUGAGAGAAAGGAGGGUCAGUACAGAUGUCCUUACCAUAAUCGGGGGGAGCGUGGCAGAGCUCUUUGAUCCACCGAUUCAUCUCUUGGAGCCUUCGAUCCAGGAGAUCCUCUCGACUGUGAGUCUUGAGGGUCUUUCGGUCGAGUGGAGGUAGGGAUCCUCCG
This 280-nucleotide long non-coding RNA is filed under the name Elaeis guineensis (African oil palm). RNAcentral describes it as "long non-coding RNA (EGUI_LNC072761)". The record is from RNAcentral. Lineage: Eukaryota; Viridiplantae; Streptophyta; Magnoliopsida; Arecales; Arecaceae.